CAGUCGCCGCGGUAAUACGUAGGGUGCAAGCGUUAAUCGGAAUUACUGGGCGUAAAGCGUGCGCAGGCGGUUGUGUAAGACAGGUGUGAAAUCCCCGGGCUUAACCUGGGCACUGCGCUUGUGACUGCACAGCUAGAGUAUGGCAGAGGGGGGUGGAAUUCCACGUGUAGCAGUGAAAUGCGUAGAGAUGUGGAGGAACACCGAUGGCGAAGGCAGCCCCCUGGGCCAAUACUGACGCUCAUGCACGAAAGCGUGGGGAGCAAACAGGAUUAGAUACCCGUGUAGUCCCUGUCUCUUAUAC
This 301-nucleotide ribosomal RNA is filed under the name uncultured bacterium. RNAcentral describes it as "partial 16S ribosomal RNA". It matches the Rfam family "Bacterial small subunit ribosomal RNA", at positions 509 to 807 of the family's 1533-position model. The record is from RNAcentral.